This 378-nucleotide unclassified non-coding RNA is filed under the name plant metagenome. RNAcentral's name for it is "partial contains 5.8S ribosomal RNA, internal transcribed spacer 2, and large subunit ribosomal RNA". The stretch from base 1 to 105 matches the Rfam family "5.8S ribosomal RNA", at positions 50 to 154 of the family's 154-position model. The record is from RNAcentral.
GAAAUGCGCUAAGUAAUGUGAAUUGCAGAAUUCAGUGAAUCAUCGAAUCUUUGAAAGCACCUUGCGCUCCUUGGUAUUCCUUGGAGCAUGCCUGUUUGAGUAUCAUGAAAUCUUCAAAGUAAAUCUUUUGUUAACUCAAUUGGUUUCUACUUUGGUAUUGGAGGUCUUUGCAGCUUCACACCUGCUCCUCUUUGUUCAUUAGCUGGAUCUCAGUGUUAUGCUUGGUUCCACUCGGCGUGAUAAGUUAUCUAUCGCUGAGGACACUGUAAAAGGUGGCCAAGGUAAAUGCAGAUGAACCGCUUCUAAUAGUCCAUUGACUUGGACAAUACUUUUAUGAUCUGAUCUCAAAUCAGGUAGGACUACCCGCUGAACUUAAGC